This 472-nucleotide ribosomal RNA is filed under the name Apis nuluensis. RNAcentral's name for it is "partial large subunit ribosomal RNA". The record is from RNAcentral. Lineage: Eukaryota; Metazoa; Arthropoda; Insecta; Hymenoptera; Apidae.
AGGUCGAUCUGCUCCAUGAAAUUAAUUUAAAUAGCUGCAGUAUAUUGACUGUACAAAGGUAGCAUAAUAAAUUGUCUUUUAAUUGAAGAAUUGAAUGAAUGAAUUGAUGAAAUAACAACUGUCUCUAUAUUAUUUAAUGAAUUUAAAUUUUUAGUUAAAAUUCUGAAAUUUAAUUAUGGGACGAUAAGACCCUAUAGAAUUUUAUUUAAUAUAAUUAUUUAUUUAAAUUAUUUGUGAAUAUAUAAUUAAUUUAAAUUUGAUUGGGAGGAUUGGUAAAUAAAAAUAACUUUAUCUAAAAAUUAAUUUUGAUGAAAAGAUUUUUUUUUGACUUAUAAUUUAUGAUUAAAAGAAUAAAUUACCUUAGGGAUAACAGCGUAAUAUCUUUUGAUAGACCACAUUGAUAAAGAUGUUUGCGACCUCGAUGUUGAAUUAAGAGAAAAGUUAAACGCAGGAGUUUAAAAUUUUAAGUCUG